RNAcentral lists this small RNA (2053 nucleotides) under Pan troglodytes (chimpanzee). Its description in RNAcentral is "retained intron". The record is from RNAcentral. Lineage: Eukaryota; Metazoa; Chordata; Mammalia; Primates; Hominidae.
AAGCGAAGACUUGGCCUGCCACACCCUAAGUACCACCACCCACCACCGGAGGCGACCGCCAGCCCCCGUUGCCAUCAGCCAUCUCCAGGGCUGAGGAACUGAGCCCAUGUACCUGUCACAAAACAAACAAGCAAAAAACAGAUAAAUCCCUCAGAGACAGGCUAGCCUUGACAUGGACCCCGAUUCUCACCUGGACUCCAAAAGCUAUCUUGACCUAGUGGCAUCUCUGACCCAAACCUUAAUUGCCCCCAUCGCCCUCUACAUCCCCCCAGCACUGACCCUCACCAGGACUCCAGCCCCAAUUCCAUCCCAAAUCUGUGUAGCAUCUGCUUCUGCCGAUUCUAAGAGCCCUAGCACCUGCCAAGUCCCCCCAUUACCCACCUUCCCACACUCAGAAGCCUCUUUGGUGGGAUGCUAAUGGGAAGGAGUCUUGCCUCUCUGGAGGCAGGAGGGGCUGGCCUUGUGCCCCUCCGGGCCUCUGAGAGGUGGGCGCAGGAGAACAGCACUCACGAGGGGACCUCCUUCACCCUGGGAAAGGGUGGUUUCUUUGCUAUUUCACAGUCACAGGCUGAAUCCUUCACUUGGCCCUGCCCACCGUACAGGUAUGCUCACUGCCGGCUUUAGGGAGGCCAGAAACCAACCUGCUCCUGCAAAAAGAAUCCAGGCUUGUUCUGAGUGCCUGCUGCAGGCCAGGCAAGUUGGUCACUGUUGCAUGAGGGGGCAGUGCCUCUCACUCUUGGGCCUGACGCCAAGGGAGGUAGCCUGUCCCGGUCGCAUGCAGACAUCCUGGCCAUCCCAGCCACACAUGCACGUGAGAGGCUGGGUGCUGGCAGGGUUCCUGAGGGACUGGAAGAUGUGGCCCCCUGCCUGCCUCCUUCCUCUUGUGAAUAUAAGGGGCCAGUUCCCAGCCCAAAGCCCCACCCGGGGCCCUCAUGUUUCAUCACCAACAGGCCUACUGUCUGGCUCCUUUUGACCUCAUCAAAGUCCGGCUACAAAACCAGACAGAGCCAAGGGCCCAGCCAGGGAGCCCCCCACCCCGGUACCAGGGGCCCGUGCACUGUGCAGCCUCCAUCUUCCGGGAGGAGGGGCCCCGGGGGCUGUUCCGAGGAGCCUGGGCCCUGACGCUGAGGGACACCCCCACGGUGGGGAUCUACUUCAUCACCUAUGAAGGGCUCUGUCGCCAGUACACACCAGAAGGCCAGAAUCCCAGCUCAGCCACGGUGCUGGUGGCAGGAGGCUUUGCAGGCAUUGCUUCCUGGGUGGCAGCCACGCCCUUAGACGUGAUCAAGUCCCGGAUGCAGAUGGAUGGACUGAGACGCAGAGUGUACCAGGGGAUGCUGGACUGCAUGUAGAGACAGGGUUUCACCAUGUCAGCCAGGAUGGUCUUGAUCUCCUGACUUUGUGAUCCGCCCGCGUCGGCCUCUCAAAGUGCUGGGAUUACAGGCGUGAGCCACCGCGCCCGGCCGCCUUCACCUCUUAAGGAGCUCUGAGACUCCGCUUCUGAGAGUCCCUGCGGCCUCCCACCUGCCUGCCUUUCAAAGCUCUCUCCCCCAUGACCCAGGAUAACCCUAUGUCUCCUCCCCCAGAAUCCUUCAGUGGCUCUCAUCACCUUCAGGAAAAGCCCAAACUCCUUCCACCCUCCAGGUUCCUCCCUCCCCACGAGGCUUUGUUCUCCUGGGGUUGCUUCCUGGACCCUGAACAAGUUGUGCUCUCAUUGGCCGGGCCUGGCCAGCAGUGCACAGUGCCUGGCAGGUUGACUCUACCAUCCCCGGGCUGGCCCCGCUCUCCUCCGAGACCCAGGCUGAGCCCAGUCUCCUCACCCUUCCUUGACUUACCUCCCCACCUGAGGCUGACUUUGGGGUUCCCAGACACCCUACCCACACACAUGCCUUGAUCAUAGCACUUGCCUGCGCUUCUUCAGAGUCAUUAAUUUGCUUCUCGGCUUCCCCACUGGACUGUGAGCUGCCUGAGGUCAGGGAUUGCGCUUUGGAUGGUUUCCAGCCUGAGCCUGGUGCUUGAACAGACGUGUGCAAUAAAUGCUCGUUAAAUGAUG